CAAGGCGACGAUCCCUAGCUGGUCUGAGAGGAUGACCAGCCACACUGGAACUGAGACACGGUCCAGACUCCUACGGGAGGCAGCAGUGGGGAAUAUUGCACAAUGGGCGCAAGCCUGAUGCAGCCAUGCCGCGUGUAUGAAGAAGGCCUUCGGGUUGUAAAGUACUUUCAGCGGGGAGGAAGGUGUUGUGGUUAAUAACCGCAGCAAUUGACGUUACCCGCAGAAGAAGCACCGGCUAACUCCGUGCCAGCAGCCGCGGUAAUACGGAGGGUGCAAGCGUUAAUCGGAAUUACUGGGCGUAAAGCGCACGCAGGCGGUCUGUCAAGUCGGAUGUGAAAUCCCCGGGCUCAACCUGGGAACUGCAUUCGAAACUGGCAGGCUUGAGUCUUGUAGAGGGGGGUAGAAUUCCAGGUGUAGCGGUGAAAUGC
This 428-nucleotide ribosomal RNA is filed under the name Salmonella enterica. RNAcentral's name for it is "bacterial SSU rRNA". It matches the Rfam family "Bacterial small subunit ribosomal RNA", at positions 269 to 689 of the family's 1533-position model. The record is from RNAcentral. Lineage: Bacteria; Pseudomonadati; Pseudomonadota; Gammaproteobacteria; Enterobacterales; Enterobacteriaceae. RNAcentral also lists the same sequence under 1 other name.